This 1338-nucleotide ribosomal RNA is filed under the name metagenome. Its description in RNAcentral is "bacterial SSU rRNA". It matches the Rfam family "Bacterial small subunit ribosomal RNA". The record is from RNAcentral.
AGUCUAGUGGCAGACGAGAGAGUAAUAACAAGGAACUUACCCCCGAGUGAAGGAUAGCCCACCGAAAGGUGGGGUAAUCCUGCAUAAUAUCGAAAGAUCAAAGCCGUAAGGCGCUUGGGGAGAGGCCUUGUCCCUAUCAGCUAGUUGGUGAGGUAAUUGCUCACCAAGGCGAUGACGGGUAGCUGGACUGAGAGGUUGACCAGCCUCGAUGGGACUGAGACACGGCCCAUACUCCUACGGGAGGCAGCAGUUGGGAAUUUUGCACAAUGGAGGAAACUCUGAUGCAGCAACACUGCGUGAAGGAUAAAGGUUUUCGGAUUGUAAACUUCUUUUAUCUGGGAAUAAUCUUGAAGGUACCAGAUGAAUAAGCACCGGCUAACUACGUGCCAGCAGCCGCGGUAAUACGUAGGGUGCAAACGUUAUCCGGAUUUAUUGGGCGUAAAGAGCUCGUAGGUGGUUUUGUAAGUUGGAUAUUAAAUACUUUGGCUCAACCAAAGAAAUGUAUUCAAAACUGCAUAACUUGAGGUAUGUAGGGGAGGAUGGAACUUACGGUGUAGCAGUGAAAUGCGUAGAUAUCGUAAGGAACGCCAAUGGUGAAGACAGUCCUCUGGACAUUACCUGACACUGAGGAGCGAAAGCGUGGGUAGCGAACGGGAUUAGAUACCCCGGUAGUCCACGCCGUAAACGAUGCAUACUAGGAAUGUGGAGAAUCGACCCUCUGCGUUUCGAAGCUAACGCGUUAAGUAUGCCGCCUGGGUAGUACGGCCGCAAGGCUAAAACCCAAAGGAAUUGACGGGGACCCGCACAAGCGGUGGAACAUGUGGUUUAAUUCGUCAGCAAGCGAAGAACCUUACCAGGGCUUGACAUCUCCGGAAUCUCUUGGAAACAAGAGAGUGCCUUCGGGAGCCGGAUUACAGGUGCUGCACGGUCGUCGUCAGCUCGUGCUGUGAAGUGUCCCGUUAAGUCGGUCAACGAGCGCAACCCCUAUUGCAUGUUGCAUUCUCAUGCGAGACUGCCGGCGUUAAGUUGGAGGAAGGUGGGGAUGACGUCAGAUCAGCGUGGCUCUUACGUCCUGGGCUACACACGUGUUACAAUGGGUAGAUCAAAGGGUCGCUAAACCGAAAGGUGGAGCUAAUCCCAUCAAACCUACCCCCAGUUCGGAUUGAGGGCUGAAACUCGCCCUCAUGAAGUCGGAAUCGCUAGUAACCGUAGGUCAGCCAUACUACGGUGAAUACGUUCUCGGGUCUUGUACACACCGCCCGUCAAGUCAGGAAAGCCGGUAACGCCCGAAGCGCCCAACAGGGCACCACGGUGGGAUCGGUGAUCAGGACUGAAAAG